CAACACUGGCUUAGUGACAGCGUGGAAUUGCCACCAGCGAGUGCGCAGAAUAUCAAAGGAAAACAAACACCUUGCUUCGCGAGCGAAAGCCGGUAGAAAGGCGGGAAAUCAGAGAAAGGCACUCACCAGUAGGCCGCCCCUCCCUUGCCCACUGAGUAUUGAGUGACUCUCGACUCCUGCAACAGCCGGCCAGGCCAGAAUGCACGUUCAGUCAGGCCGCCAGACACUCGGCGGUAAAAACAGUUAAAAACUUCAAAACACCGGACUACGAGGGAAAGUACGUUCACUUCAACUUGUGUGUGUGUGUGUGUGUGUGUGUGUGUGUGUGUGCGUGUAUUUUUGGUGUGUGUUAACUUUCACCCAUUGUUAGCAUCUUUCUUUUUGGUUAUGCGCCAGUUUCUUUUUAGCCAUCAAUGAGCAUGUUUUGGCUUUGUUUUGGCCAAAAAUCUCUGUGUGUCUUGACAUUUGGCCAUUGUCUGCGCUUAGCUUAGCUUAGCGCAUUGUGGGCUUUCAUUGUGACUCCACAGACACGCCCACUGCCCCCUGACCCCCCCCCCCCUGCCAACUGUUUGUUGGCAUUCAGGUGUUAAAAAAUUUGAAGUCUAUCGACUGCCAGCUACCGAGUCUCAUCAUCGACCAUUAGGUUGAUAGGUCAGUUCGUUAUGCUAAUCCCUACUCCCUGCUGCCCCUCUCUGCCCCUCUCCGCCUCACUCUGCUCAAUUCGCGACAUUUUCUAAGAGUUCGAAUGUGUUAAAUAAUCUUGUGUGUUUGUUUUAUUUUUUUUUUUUUGUGUGGGUUUUCUUCGAUCUGUGACAAUAUUCCAUAAUUAGCAUAUCAUGACCAGCUUUUAUGUUGUAAUAUUUUAAAGAAACUCAAUAAAAACUGAGCUCAACUACGAACUGAGUUUAAAUA
Molecule: long non-coding RNA, 912 nt
Organism: Drosophila innubila
Lineage: Eukaryota; Metazoa; Arthropoda; Insecta; Diptera; Drosophilidae
Exons: 2
Source: RefSeq, a predicted model, not a curated record